Molecule: ribosomal RNA, 389 nt
Filed under: uncultured bacterium
Lineage: Bacteria
Description: bacterial SSU rRNA
Rfam family: Bacterial small subunit ribosomal RNA
Source: RNAcentral
AUUGAACGCUGGCGGCAGGCCUAACACAUGCAAGUCGAGCGGUAGAGAGGUGCUUGCAUCUCUUGAGAGCGGCGGACGGGUGAGUAAUGCCUAGGAAUCUGCCUAGUGGUGGGGGAUAACGUUCGGAAACGGACGCUAAUACCGCAUACGUCCUACGGGAGAAAGCGGGGGAUCUUCGGACCUCGCGCCAUUAGAUGAGCCUAGGUCGGAUUAGCUAGUUGGUGAGGUAAUGGCUCACCCAAGGCGACGAUCCGUAACUGGUCUGAGAGGAUGAUCAGUCACACUGGAACUGAGACACGGUCCAGACUCCUACGGGAGGCAGCAGUGGGGGAAUAUUGGACAAUGGGCGCAAGCCUGAUCCAGCCAUGCCGCGUGUGUGAAGAAGGCCU